Molecule: long non-coding RNA, 1067 nt
Organism: Salvelinus fontinalis (brook trout)
Lineage: Eukaryota; Metazoa; Chordata; Actinopteri; Salmoniformes; Salmonidae
Exons: 3
Source: RefSeq, a predicted model, not a curated record
UGUUGAAGCUACUUCCCUGCCUUGCAGUAGACACACCAGAUUUAUUUUCUCUCCAGUCUUUCCACCACAGGCGAGCCAGCUUUAAGCCAAACUCUUCUCAAUUGUGAUCUGCGUGUAUCUAAUCAAACGAUGUGGACUUGGACAGACUGUCUGUGUGUCAAUAUCCUGCUUCUGCUCCAAAGAGCAGGCUCUGAGAAGUUUGAGGUUCUUGGUCCGACUCGUGCCAUUGUUGCUGUGGCUGGUGAUGACAUCAUUCUGCCCUGUUCUAUCAAACCAAGUAUCACCGCUGAGGACAUGAGAGUUGACUGGUUCAGAAUCAACCUCCUAGACACUCAGUCAAACAUUAGAGUCCAUCUCUACCAAGACGGCGGAGACAAAUACCCUGAUCAGAUCCUCUCCUAUGAAGGAAAUGACAUCGCUGUUUAAAGAGGAACUGAAGAAGGGCAACACCUCUUUGAAACUGACCAGGGUACAGGGCACUGAUGAUGGACGUUAUAAAUGUCUUGUUGAGUCUAAGACACAUUAUGAUGAUGCCACCAUUCAACCCACAUGAUGUUCCUCCCAAUCUGAGCAGUACUUCAUCUCCAGUCUCCCUUUGUGUCUGUAGCUAUAGGAUCCAAGCCAGAGGUUUCCAUUGAGGGACAGAAAGAAGGAGGGAUGGAUCUGCUGUGUGUAUCUAAAGGCUGGUUCCCUGAGCCUGAGUUGGAGUGGCUGGACAGUGAAGGGGUCACUCUGUCUGCUGGACCGUCAGAGACAGACAGGGACUAUGAGGGAUUCUACAUAGUCAAACUAAAGACCAUCGUAAAGGAGACUGACAUCAACCGCUUUACCUGUAGAGUCAGACAGAGACAGAUCUAUGAUGUGAUUAAGAUGGAGACAGAGUUUCACAUCCCUAGUGAGUAACAUCAUAGUAUUGUUUAGCUGAGAUGGAACACUUCAUGUUUUAUAUGCUGUUGUAUUACAAAGGCUGCUUAACAAACAUAAAUAGGACAGUUGGAUACAAGUUUGUCAACAUUUUUAGAACUCUAAAGUAUUCUAAUGUCAAGAUGAAACCAUGUUUGUUUUGU